GACAGACAGAAACAGAGAGAGACAGACAGACAGAAACAGAGAGAGACAGACAGACAGAAACAGAGACAGACAGACAGACAGAAACAGAGAGAGACAGACAGACGAUCCUGGACGAGUCCAGCCCGUCUGACCCGGAUAAUAUUCUCUUUUUCAUUAAAUCUGAGCUCAACUUUCAACUCUUCUGACUCAAAAUGUGUUUUUUAUAAAUGGGUGAAAAAUGAAAGACUUGAACUUUGAGGAUUUUCUAGUUUUAGCUCCUUUAACUUCGACAGAUUUCAGCUCCACCCAGAAACACGGAGAGGAGAAAUAUUAAGAUUCAGACCAAAAUGAAACAGCAAAAGCUGUUUAAUUACAGACACAAACACGGCCGAGAAUUAUAGAACAGCGUGACGAGGAUUAAUUACAGCUAUAAGACCUGCAGCUAAUGUUCAGAGCGACGCUAAUGCUAAUGACAGGAGAGGCUCCCCUGCAGCUUUAACUCACUGACCUUCACUCACCUGCAGAAAUGCAACCAGCUAAUAAUCCACUGGAUGUUUUAUGGAUCUGUUAGGAAGUAAAAUGUUGAAAUAUUGUUUAAAAUAUAAGAUUUAAUAAAUAUAAAAGGCAUUUGGCCUUAUUAAUAAAGUGAGAUAUCAUGAACCAACUAAUAAACUCAAAGUUAUAUCUGCAGAUUUAAAGACAUUGUUUGCACUAAAAUACUCUAAAUAAUGUAUAAAGAGAUGAACACAAGUUUUCCUUCUGGAAUUCAGAAAAGAUUUAAAGGUUAGAAAAGUUAGAAUAGAUACACAAAACCUGUUUAUUACAUUUUUAUAUCAAAUCUUUUUGUCUAUUUUAGAUGUUUUACUUCAGAUGUUUUAGUUUCCUGCUGAGGUUUAAAGAUGUAGCAGCUGAUAUUACUGUGCAGAUGUAUAAAUGUGUUGUUUAUCCAUAACUGUGUCAUAUUUAAAUAAUUCUCUGAUCAUGUUUAAUAAUGUUUGUUUCUUCAUGAACAGGACAAGUUAUCAGUUUCUAUUAAAAAUAGUAUUUUAUGUUAAUUUAUUUUCUGUAAUGUUGUAAGUUUACCAAACUGAAGUUAAUCUAAAUGUCAGGUGAGUUUCUUCUUCUCUGUCCAGUUUUAUGCUGACGUGUUUUUCCAGUCCAGUCGUUGUGAUGGGAUCUAACUGGAAACCAGUUGUUGGUGCUGGGAGAUAAUAAAUAGUCUGCAGGAUUUCAUGGCCUGUCAGUUUGUGCUACAGUAACAUCAGGACUGAAGGGAAACGGCGCCGUUAACGAGGCAGAGUAACGGCUGAUUGGACGCCUGCCGCCGGACCGCCGUCCGUCAUCCUGACGGGCUGUCCAGGGGCCGGCGCCGCGCCGCGGCCCCAUCAGGUUCCCCACUAUUUUAGUCCCACUGUGGACGUGUUCCUGUCAGGAGGAAGGGCCGCUCGUCUUCAUCAGCCGCAGGACAGAAACCUGUCAGCAGGAACUCAAACCGUCCAGAACAACCAGAACGGACCAGUUAAAGCCCAACGCACCAGUUCAUCCAGGAAGUGAAACGAUUUAUCCAGGAAAGCAGCUGAUUGGACCAGAGGAGAGAAACGUGUUGAGUUGUUUUCUUUCAGGUUCAGGAUGAAAUCUGUUCGGUUUAUUCAGAAUUCAUCUGGUGGCUUUAAAAUCAGCAGCCUGGGAUCAACGCGUCCAUUUUUACAGUGCAGAGAGUCACAGUGAUAACGCAGCAUCACACACCCACAUGCAGCCCGGUGUGUGUGUGUGUGUGUGUGUGUGUGUGUGUCAUCGGCCAGCGUAGCCGGCAGGAGAAGGCAGCUGUCUGACCACAUCUACACACACUGCAGGAGAAGGUGCUCACACACACACACACACAUUCUCUCUCACACACACACACACACACACUCUGAGCUGCAUGUGAGCCGUUCAUCUCCAUGAGGGAAGUCGAGGCAAAAACCGGUGAACCAGUCAGGAUCCUCCGUUCAUUAACCCUCAUUAAGCAGGCAGGGAGUGUGUGUGGUGUGUGUGUGUGGUGUGUGUGUGUGUGUUCAGAGUUUACAGACCGGUACGUCACACAGAGUUUGUUUAUCAUAAAUAUCAUCACUUUGGUAACAAUACCUGUAAAUAUUUCAUUAAUCUCUAAAACCUUUAAUGAAAAAUUACAGUUAUAAAUAAAAGAGUAAAAAUGGUAAAAAUGUGAUUCUAAAACUGAAUGUUUAAUAAAAGCUUCUGAUAAAAUCAGAGAGAAAACAAGAAACAUUUUGUGUAAAUUCAGGAAGAAAGUUUUUCACUAAAACAAAAAACAUUUUCUGAUGCAAACGUUAAAAUUAGAACGUUUUUAUAAUCUAACUUUCUGAUUUUUACAUCAAGUAAAACUUUCUCUCCAAUAAUCCACAAACAUAAAAAGGUUUCAGUAAAAAUGAUCUCUGUGCCUUACCAGAGCCACCAGUCUGUGUCUGUGCCUCUGGUACGGCAGCAACAUGUUCGUUAAAUAUGUUUAGAAAACCUGAACUGGAUCAUUCUGGUGAAGUCAUGGAUUUAUUGGGACCAAAUUAUUGGGAAAGUUCAGCUAAAUUUUAAUAAUCUGUUCAGAAUUUAUUAAAUAGAUCCAGUCUGACAACAUGAAGUAGGCAAGACAAACUUUACCUAGCAACAAGAAAAAUAUAUGUUUUUUUUUUCAUAACACAAAGUCACUAAUAAACAACUUCAAGAUAAUUUGACAUCGUUCUCUUGGAGUUUGUCUGAACAGUCUUUACAUUAUUAUUGUUGUUAAUAAAUGGUGUUUAUGUUA
Xiphophorus couchianus (Monterrey platyfish) is the source of this 2776-nucleotide long non-coding RNA. RefSeq lists it as uncharacterized. The transcript has 2 exons. The record is from RefSeq and is a predicted model, not a curated record. NCBI's taxonomy places the organism in Eukaryota, Metazoa, Chordata, Actinopteri, Cyprinodontiformes, Poeciliidae.